UUGAAUGGCUCAGUGAGGCGUCCGGACUGGCCCAGAGAGGUGGGCAACUACUUCUCAGGGCCGGAAAGCUCUCCAAACUCGGUCAUUUAGAGGAAGUAAAAGUCGUAACAAGGUCUCCGUUGGUGAACCAGCGGAGGGAUCAUUA
Molecule: ribosomal RNA, 145 nt
Filed under: Cylindrodendrum hubeiense
Lineage: Eukaryota; Fungi; Ascomycota; Sordariomycetes; Hypocreales; Nectriaceae
Description: partial 18S ribosomal RNA
Rfam family: Eukaryotic small subunit ribosomal RNA
Source: RNAcentral